This 406-nucleotide unclassified non-coding RNA is filed under the name soil metagenome. RNAcentral's name for it is "partial contains 5.8S ribosomal RNA, internal transcribed spacer 2, and large subunit ribosomal RNA". The stretch from base 1 to 121 matches the Rfam family "5.8S ribosomal RNA", at positions 35 to 154 of the family's 154-position model. The record is from RNAcentral.
GAUGAAGAACGUAGCGAAAUGCGAUAAGUAAUGUGAAUUGCAGAAUUCAGUGAAUCAUCGAAUCUUUGAACGCACCUUGCGCCCUUUGGCCAUUCCGAAGGGCAUGCCUGUUUGAGUAUCAUGAACACCUCAACUCUUCAUGGUUUUCCAUGAUGAGCUUGGACUUUGGGGGUCUUGCUGGACUGUGGGUCGGCUCCUCUCAAAUGAAUCAGCUUGCCGGUUUUUGGUGGGCAUCACAGGUGUGAUAACUAUCUACGCUUGUGGUUUUCCACCAGGGUAACCUUCAGCAGUGGAGGUUCACUGGAGCUUACAAAUGUCUCUCCUCUGUGAGGACAGCCCUUUGAAUGUUUGAUCUCAAAUCAGGUAGGACUACCCGCUGAACUUAAGCAUAUCAAUAAGCGGAGGA